RNAcentral lists this ribosomal RNA (424 nucleotides) under uncultured bacterium. RNAcentral describes it as "bacterial SSU rRNA". It matches the Rfam family "Bacterial small subunit ribosomal RNA", at positions 355 to 776 of the family's 1533-position model. RNAcentral also lists the same sequence under 1 other name. The record is from RNAcentral.
UGAGGAAUAUUGGUCAAUGGACGAGAGUCUGAACCAGCCAAGUAGCGUGAAGGAUGAAGGUUCUAUGGAUUGUAAACUUCUUUUAUACGGGAAUAAACGGAUCCACGCGUGGAUUUUUGCAUGUACCGUAUGAAUAAGGAUCGGCUAACUCCGUGCCAGCAGCCGCGGUAAUACGGAGGAUCCGAGCGUUAUCCGGAUUUAUUGGGUUUAAAGGGAGCGUAGAUGGGUUGUUAAGUCAGUUGUGAAAGUUUGCGGCUCAACCGUAAAAUUGCAAUUGAUACUGGCAGUCUUGAGUACAGUUGAGGUAGGCGGAAUUCGUGGUGUAGCGGUGAAAUGCUUAGAUAUCACGAAGAACUCCGAUUGCGAAGGCAGCUUACUAACCUGUAACUGACAUUGAUGCUCGAAAGUGUGGGUAUCAAACAGG